RNAcentral lists this long non-coding RNA (2612 nucleotides) under Anser cygnoides (Swan goose). Its description in RNAcentral is "lncRNA (ENSACDG00005015745.1)". Lineage: Eukaryota; Metazoa; Chordata; Aves; Anseriformes; Anatidae. The record is from RNAcentral.
CGUUCCUGCACCACAGAGGUCGCUGAAAACAUAACACGGGCUACGCGAGGAGCGGGAUUAAGUCCUUAGUGGCUCAGCCAGCACCGGGGACCAGUUUUCAAGCCAGCAAAGGUAGUUUUCACCACAUGGAUGGCUGUUGGUUGGGGAAACAGGUCAAGGGAUUGCUAGGAAAGCCUCCCCGCUACCGGAGCCCAAGGAGCGGCACCGCUUGUAGAGCCAGCGUCCCAUCCACGGCCUCCAGCAGCGUGCCCACGGCGCAGCUCAGCGCCCGUGCUGCAGAACCCACCACACAGCAGCGCCCGGGCACUGGGGCCCCAGUCCCGCUCACAGCCUCGGCCACAGCCGGGGAACCUUUCCUCUGAGCAGGCUGAAGCCUCCUGGUGCCAGCCAGGUCUCCGCAGACCGCAGUCAGGCUUCCCGAGACGCAGCUACGCGAUGCCUCACGCUCUCCUGCGGAAGACCUCGUAUUUAUUGCCUCUCUCCUAUCUUUUGAGAAACACCUGCAACGCUACGUUGGCUCCGACGGCACAAAGAGCCUGGCGGAGCCAAGCCUGGAGCUUAUCCUGUUUGCUGCUGCUCACAUCUCCGAGAAGUCACCUGGCAGGCCCCGGCAAAAAGGACAGGCAAGCUCCAGCCAAACUCCUACCAAGCAGCGCCGUGGGCUGCAGAACCGGCAUCCCGAGCAGCCAGCACCUCCCGCCGUGUCCCCGGGCAUGCGGGGUGCUGCCCGAGCAUCACCCGAGAAGCCAGCACCCGGUUCUCAUCCCACAGCCCUAAGAACGAUGCCGUGACACCCCAAACUCUGCGGGGCAGAGGCCGCUGCAGACCCACGCGGGGCUUGGCGCCCACCAUCGCUGCCCGGCCGGACGCCUCCCUGCGGCCCCUUGCUGCUGCCGCCCCUCGCCCCGCGACACGCAGCAAGCGGCCGCCGCUGGCACCCCGUCUGCAGCCCCAGCACCCGAACCGGGGAGCCCUGCCCGUCGCAGCCCGCCGGGGGAACGCCGCCGUCGUUCUCCGCUCGCCCCGGCGGCCCGGCCCCUGCCCCAGCCCCCCUGACCGGCUGCUCCCCCCCCUCCCAGGCUGUCUGCACGGACGGGCGCCUCUUCAACCACCUGGAGACCAACUGGCGCUUCAGCCCCGGCAUCCCCGGCUACCCCCGCACCAGCACCGUGGAUUUCUCGGUAAGAGCCCGCUCCGGUGGGGCCCAGGGGUGGUGCCCGCUGCCGGGACCCGUCCCCGUGCCCCCCGCCGGGCACUCACGCUGCUUGCUCUGCUCCCCAGAUCUCCUUCGAGUUUCGCUCCCUGCUGCACUCCCAGCUGGCCACUGUCUUCUUCGACGAGGUGGUCAAGCAGAUGGUGGCAGCCUUCGAGCGCCGGGCGGCCAAGAACUUCGGUCCCGAGACCCGCAUCCCCCGCGAGCUCAUGUUCCACGAGGUCCACCAGACGUGAGGGCAGCCCGGCUGCUGCGGACUGCGCCAGGGCCCCGGGGCCGCUCGCCCUGCCCACCCUCUUAAAUAUUUAUUUGAGUGCAUCUUUGCUGCCGUUGCCUCGACUUCCCUCCCAGCCUCGGGGGCGAGAGGCGAUGCUCCUGCAAGCGCGGGGGCCGCUGUGAGCCCCCCCGGUCCCAUCUCAACACCAGGGGAGCUGCGGCCCAGGGCCAGCCUCCCCCUGGUUGUGUAGCUGAUUUUGGUUUUAAGUUUUGUUUCGUUUUAGUUCUUGGGAGUUUUUUUUUUUUUUAAAAAAAAAAAAGAGAACUCUUUUGUUCCUCCUAACUCCUCUGCAAGGCCAGAGGGUCCCAACCCCUCUGCAGGGGUGGAGGAGCUCCUGGGGCAGCUCUGCCCGCGCCCUGCGGAGGAGGAAGGUUGGUGCUGGCAGCGGGGGGGGCCCAGCCGGGUCCCGCUGGGGAACACCAGGGGCCAGGGCUUGCCAGGGGGGGUGGGAGGAGGGGGGGGGCCGCCUACCAGGNNNNNNNNNNNNNNNNNNNNGGGAGGAAACGGCGGCUCCCGCGAGCCCGGCUGGGUGCUGCACCGCCGCCGGCCGUGUCCGUGCCCCGCCGCCGGUGUGGGUGCCGCGCAGGUGAGCCCCGGGCCGGCGCAGCACCGGGCGGUGCGAGCGAGCGGCGGGCACGGCCCCCGAGCUGCCGGCUAUUCUGGGAGCUCGGGGGCUGCCAGGCGCCGCGGGUGACUCUCCUUGGCGCAGGAAUGUCCCGCGGCUCCCGGGGGGGAAGCGGCGGGACCUUUCCUCCCUCGGCUGCCGGUCCUGGGGGAGAGCUGGCGUGCCCCGCUGGCGGGCACGGCUAAAAAUACCUGCGCUGCCCCGCGGGCGCUGGAGCGUCUCCAGGUGCGGCCGGCGCUGACCCCGCGGCUCCGCCGUGCCCGGGGAGGGGUCGCGGUGCCCGCCUGCCGCCGCGGUGCCCGCCCGGUGUGCGGAGGGGCUCGGGCCGGCUGCUGGAAGCCCAGGGAGCGGACGGCAGCGCCGCGGGAGGACCCUGCUGCUGUACCGGCGGCGAGACGCCGUGCCCGGGAUCCCGCUGCUGGCAGGGCUCGGCCUGUCCCCGCGAAGCCGGGAGCGUCGCCUCCCUUCGCGCCGGGCGGCGCGGGCACCGGCUGCAG